AGAUCGUUUAUCCUAAAGAGUCUAAAUUAUAAAGAGACGAAAUGUUCCAAUUGGAAUUCCAAAUUAUCUGUCAGUGUCAUUCCAAUCGAACGAGAGACCUGUCAAUCAUAACUUCGAGAAAAACAAAGUGAAAAAGUAUUGUGUUCGAAAUAAUAAUAUUUGCUUCUUAGAUGGUAGGGCUAGUACGAUCGUUGUGCGUCAAUGAUAUUGUGAACAAAUUAGAAAAAGUUUGGUGUCUAUUAUCCAUCUGCAUCUCCAUCAACAUUUUGCAAUUGUAAACGACCGGAUUCUGUUCUAAAAAUGAGGAUAAAAAUGCUGCCAAUAUUGUUAUUGAUAGCCUGCGGUAUAAACAGUGGAUGAUUGAAAGGAGGAAUCCCUGCUCUAUAAGAUCAAAAAUCUAUGGAUCUACGAUUGAAUUAAGGAAACUGGACAGCUGGCUUAUGUGGAUACAUUCCAGGACUAUAACCAUCGAUGAAAUUCCUGUGUUCCGUUCGUGCAACAUAAUUUCAAUGGGACGUUCAACGAUAAAUAGGAGAAUAACCAGGAUGUGAAAUCAGGAACUGCAUACAAACAGCCAUCGAUUGCUAAUGAAUUGCAUUGACAAAUUGCGCUCUUGAAAGUGUAUGCAUUCAUCGAACACACCCGCUGAAACCACUGCUGAAUCGGAUUUUUAGCAAUAAUCAUGAUUACAUGGACACUUGGUCAGCAUGUUCUUGCCCAAUAGUAUCCAUCCCUUCGAUACUGGUUGGGAAGUGUCUUAAACCAAGAUCGGUCGCAGUACACGAACCUCGAAAAAGCACGCUUGUUGAACAUAGUGUGAACCUGGUGCUGCUGGGGUUGGUUGAAAGCACAACCGCUGUUGAGUAAAGGCACUUCCUAAAUAGUAUCGAAAGGGUGCGGCAGGGGCACCUUUGGGUAGAAACAUAAAAGGAACAUGCUGAUCAGUGUCCACGUAACAAUUGAUAAAUCUUUAGAUUCUUAUCUUAAUCGACGUACUUUAUAUGUCAUAGGAUUACAGUUUGUGUACCGUCAAACGGGGUGGCUUGCAACACAUGAUCAUUUACCAUCAUAUACCAUAAAUUACCAUCAUAUUCACCGUAAAAUACAAUUAUCGCAAAAUUAUAGAAAAUUUAACAUAAAAUGGUCCUGCUGUGGCCAAAA
Long non-coding RNA from Aedes aegypti (yellow fever mosquito), 1161 nucleotides. RefSeq lists it as uncharacterized. The transcript is spliced from 2 exons. NCBI's taxonomy places the organism in Eukaryota, Metazoa, Arthropoda, Insecta, Diptera, Culicidae. The record is from RefSeq and is a predicted model, not a curated record.